AGCUUACCCCCUUGCCGUGGAGUCGAGGUCGAGUCCCCAGGAACAGCGCCAUAUCUGAAUGCUCUUUCUGUAAAAGGUAUGGAGUCUUGCCGUAUUCAUGAAACUACCUUCACAGCAUCAUGAAGUGUGAUGUGGACAUCUGUAAGGACCUGUACGCCAACACUGUGCUCUCUGGAGGUACCACCAUGUACCCUGGCAUCGCUGACCGUAUGCAGAAGGAAAUCACUGCCCUGGCACCCACCACCAU
Molecule: long non-coding RNA, 247 nt
Organism: Sander lucioperca (pikeperch)
Lineage: Eukaryota; Metazoa; Chordata; Actinopteri; Perciformes; Percidae
Exons: 2
Source: RefSeq, a predicted model, not a curated record